AGAAAAUCUACCUUUUGAUACCUUUAGGUGGAGAAGUAUAUAUAUGUAUAGAGCAAGAAAAUUAUAUUAGCAAGCAAAAUAGAAGUGUAUACUAGUCAACAACUAGGACUUCUCAUGUAUGACCUUUUUGUUAAAUAUUCUUUCAAUUUGUAACAAUGCAAGCAAAAUAGAACUGUAUACUAGUCAACAAUUAGGACUUCUCAUAUAUGACCUUUUUGUUAAAUAUUCUUUCAAUUUGUAACAAUUCAACAAAAAUAUAUUCAUAUUUCUUCCUAUAUUAUUCCGAGACAGUAAAAAG
This 298-nucleotide long non-coding RNA is filed under the name Nicotiana benthamiana. Its description in RNAcentral is "long non-coding RNA (NBEN_LNC031285)". The record is from RNAcentral. Lineage: Eukaryota; Viridiplantae; Streptophyta; Magnoliopsida; Solanales; Solanaceae.